This 503-nucleotide ribosomal RNA is filed under the name Penicillium sp. N39. RNAcentral's name for it is "SSU rRNA". It matches the Rfam family "Eukaryotic small subunit ribosomal RNA", at positions 64 to 570 of the family's 1831-position model. Lineage: Eukaryota; Fungi; Ascomycota; Eurotiomycetes; Eurotiales; Aspergillaceae. The record is from RNAcentral.
UAUAAGCACUUGUACUGUGAAACUGCGAAUGGCUCAUUAAAUCAGUUAUCGUUUAUUUGAUAGUACCUUACUACAUGGAUACCUGUGGUAAUUCUAGAGCUAAUACAUGCUAAAAACCCCGACUUCAGGAAGGGGUGUAUUUAUUAGAUAAAAAACCAACGCCCUUCGGGGCUCCUUGGUGAAUCAUAAUAACUUAACGAAUCGCAUGGCCUUGCGCCGGCGAUGGUUCAUUCAAAUUUCUGCCCUAUCAACUUUCGAUGGUAGGAUAGUGGCCUACCAUGGUGGCAACGGGUAACGGGGAAUUAGGGUUCGAUUCCGGAGAGGGAGCCUGAGAAACGGCUACCACAUCCAAGGAAGGCAGCAGGCGCGCAAAUUACCCAAUCCCGAUACGGGGAGGUAGUGACAAUAAAUACUGAUACGGGGCUCUUUUGGGUCUCGUAAUUGGAAUGAGAACAAUUUAAAUCCCUUAACGAGGAACAAUUGGAGGGCAAGUCUGGGCCGAA